This is a long non-coding RNA of Alligator sinensis (Chinese alligator), 268 nucleotides long. RefSeq lists it as uncharacterized. The record is from RefSeq and is a predicted model, not a curated record. The transcript has 3 exons. Lineage: Eukaryota; Metazoa; Chordata; Crocodylia; Alligatoridae.
CAGCAACCAAGGAGAAAGGAGCUCUCUCAUGGAAGGCAUGGAGUAUUUCCCGGAUGAGCAACAUUGAUCUGGAUGAGAAGAGUACAGCAUUUUGCAACAUUGAUGAGAGAUGCAAUUCGAAGUGGCAAGCAGUCUGCUGAUGGGUACAAGUAACAAGCAUUUACUGCAAAGGAAAAAAAGAAAAGAGAAUGAACAGGGUGUGCGUUUCAUUGAGGCUUACCUUGUUUAUGGACAUUGAUUGGCUUUUGUAACAACCAGGUGGCUAAUA